AAACGCACACUUCUCUGUGUUUUUGAAAUUUUAUGCAUUGAAAUAAAUUGCUUUACAGCUUCUCUUGAUGACAGAAUUAAAACCAUUUUGCAAUGAAAAGAAAAAUUAUUGCGAUUGGAAUUUUUUUUCGUUUGUUUAUAAUUCACAUUCAUUUCUCUCAUCAUUGCUGUGAAAACCAUUUCAUCAACCCCCUUGUCUGUUUGAUUGCUCUGUUUUGCAUUUGAAUUUCCAUUCUUCAUACUUGUUUGUUCUUAAAAAAAAAAAAAAAGAAGAAUUGGAUUUUGUGUAACACUUUGCUAAUUUUAUUAUGUGCCUUUAUUAAAUUUUGCAUUCUUUGCUUCUUUUUUUCCAAUUUGCACUGUCCAUUAUUAUAAUCCUUAAUAUUCCUUUGUACUGUUAGUUUUAAUAUUGAUUAAUGUUUUAUUUUUCC
Non-coding RNA from Schizosaccharomyces pombe (fission yeast), 430 nucleotides. The record is from the annotation of a GenBank genome assembly. Lineage: Eukaryota; Fungi; Ascomycota; Schizosaccharomycetes; Schizosaccharomycetales; Schizosaccharomycetaceae.